AACGAACGCUGGCGGCAUGCCUAACACAUGCAAGUCGAACGAGACCUUCGGGUCUAGUGGCGCACGGGUGCGUAACGCGUGGGAACCUGCCCUUAGGUUCGGAAUAACUCCCCGAAAGGGGUGAUAAUACCGGAUAAUGUCUUCGGCCCAAAGAUUUAUCGCCUUUGGAUGGGCCCGCGUUGGAUUAGCUAGUUGGUAGGGUAAAAGCCUACCACGGCGACGAUCCAUAGCUGGUCUGAGAGGAUGAUCAGCCACACUGGGACUGAGACACGGCCCAGACUCCUACGGGAGGCAGCAGUGGGGAAUAUUGGACAAUGGGCGAAAGCCUGAACCAGCAAUGCCGCGUGAGUGAUGAAGGCCUUAGGGUUGUAAAGCGCUUUUACCCGGGAUGAUAAUGACAGUACCGGGAGAAUAAGCUCCGGCUAACUCCGUG
RNAcentral lists this ribosomal RNA (433 nucleotides) under uncultured bacterium. RNAcentral describes it as "partial 16S ribosomal RNA". It matches the Rfam family "Bacterial small subunit ribosomal RNA", at positions 29 to 507 of the family's 1533-position model. The record is from RNAcentral.